GCCUUCGUUGUGUAGCGGUCAGCACGCUCGACGCGUAUUCGAGAGGUACGUGGUUCGAGUCCCGGCGAGGGCA
Molecule: non-coding RNA, 73 nt
Organism: Stegodyphus mimosarum
Lineage: Eukaryota; Metazoa; Arthropoda; Arachnida; Araneae; Eresidae
Source: Rfam